AUGAAGGAAGGAAUGAUAAGAAAUUGUCCGAGGAAACUGAUGAACAUAAAUAUUUCAAGAUCAAGAGAGGGCAAAGUGUUCUUCUAGAAUCUGAAAUAUCAUUCACUCCAGAAAUUCAACACCAGUGAUGUCACAACAUGGAAUGCAAAUCUGAGUUCGUGGACAUCAGCCCCCACCAAGACCAUGGCCCUAUCAAUGCAGGUCAUGACAGGGAGACUUUGGCUGAAGAAAAUCACAACAGACGAGAGAUAAUGCAAGAGAAAAAUAAAACAAUUCCAUGAGGAUGUCAUUCUGGAACUUCCUGUUACCAGGGAGUGAGAUCAGGAUGCUUGGGGCAAGGCUCAGAGAAUCUAGAAAAGCCUCCGACUUCUACACAGCUCUCUCAAAUGUGAAGGAAGGAGGCAUGACUGCUCUUUGAUUCUCAUAGGAAAUGUAAAGAUGUAAUUUCUGCAGUGAGUAAUGGUA
This 465-nucleotide long non-coding RNA is filed under the name Homo sapiens (human). RNAcentral describes it as "HSALNT0055962". Lineage: Eukaryota; Metazoa; Chordata; Mammalia; Primates; Hominidae. The record is from RNAcentral.